Ribosomal RNA from Neogale vison (American mink), 123 nucleotides. The record is from Ensembl. Lineage: Eukaryota; Metazoa; Chordata; Mammalia; Carnivora; Mustelidae.
GGUAAGAACCCUUUGUAUCAUCCUGUACACACCCGAUCUCGUCUGAUCUCAGAAGGUAAGCAGGGUCGGGCCUGGUUAGUACUUGGAUGGAAGAAUGCCUGGGAAUACUGGGUGCUUUCACUU